GGGAGAAAGCAGGGGACCUUCGGGCCUUGCGCUAUCAGAUGAGCCUAGGUCGGAUUAGCUAGUUGGUGGGGUAAUGGCUCACCAAGGCGACGAUCCGUAACUGGUCUGAGAGGAUGAUCAGUCACACUGGAACUGAGACACGGUCCAGACUCCUACGGGAGGCAGCAGUGGGGAAUAUUGGACAAUGGGCGAAAGCCUAAUCCAGCCAUGCCGCGUGUGUGAAGAAGGUCUUCGGAUUGUAAAGCACUUUAAGUUGGGAGGAAGGGCAGUAAAUUAAUACUUUGCUGUUUUGACGUUACCGACAGAAUAAGCACCGGCUAACUCUGUGCCAGCAGCCGCGGUAAUACAGAGGGUGCAAGCGUUAAUCGGAAUUACUGGGCGUAAAGCGCGCGUAGGUGGUUCGUUAAGUUGGAUGUGAAAUCCCCGGGCUCAACCUGGGAACUGCAUUCAAAACUGACGAGCUAGAGUAUAGUAGAGGGUGGUGGAAUUUCCUGUGUAGCGGUGAAAUGCGUAGAUAUAGGAAGGAACACCAGUGGCGAAGGCGACCACCU
This 551-nucleotide ribosomal RNA is filed under the name uncultured Pseudomonas sp. RNAcentral's name for it is "bacterial SSU rRNA". It matches the Rfam family "Bacterial small subunit ribosomal RNA", at positions 198 to 730 of the family's 1533-position model. The record is from RNAcentral. Lineage: Bacteria; Pseudomonadati; Pseudomonadota; Gammaproteobacteria; Pseudomonadales; Pseudomonadaceae.